UACCACCAGCCCCCUAGGCUCAGCAAAAAGGGGAGAGGGACAAAGUGGGGGUGGGAUGCAUCUUGCACAGCUGACCUGCUGACCCAUAUCCCCUUGCCCCCUGGAGGCCCACCCCCCCACUCACUCUUUUUUGAACCAACCCCGUGUCAUCCCUCCGGAGAUUUAAUGGGGGAGGGAGAGGAGGUAAGGCCCAGACACUCAACUCACAUCCUGCACGCAGGCACAAGGUUAUGUAACAGUCUGAGUGGAAAAAGGAAGGUCAGAGAUGGAAGCAUCCUUUAGCUAACACAGCAGUAGUAAUAGCUUCCAGAAAUUAUGUGCAUUUGCAGACUUUAACCUCAGAUGUAGCAUCUCUCCUCAGGGGUACCAAUCUUUGUGUGUGUGAGCUAGGGAGAAAAAGAGAAUGUGUAAGUAUGCCCAGUAGAUGAGAGUGAUUUGAAAAUGGGAAAUGUUUGGGUUUUCAGAUGAUGUAAUGGAGUUGGCAGAAUAUGCAAGUCGGCUCCCAGAGUGUAAGCAGCAAGAAAAUUGGAGCUGGCAUCCAGUAUUAAUGUUGCAUAAAUUACAAUAUCGGAAAGAAAUUAACCUACACACUAGGUGAUUACACCUUUUUAAUACUUAAACAUAAAGGCACACAACUCAAAAGGAAAAGCAAAUAUCAUCACUUUAUAAUUAGCAUUCUCAACCUCUAGGAGGGUUGAGUGGAGUUCUUGGCAGAGGGUGAAGUGGGAAGCUUUCUGAUUUGGGAGAUGCUUUCCAGAGAGGUAGUGGGGUUAGCUUUCAGCCAGCCAGCGUUUGCAGUGCACAGAGAUUGUGGUCUGGAUUCUCAUGACAUUGAGGUGACCUCAUGAGACAUAUCCUAGGUAGACUUGAAGCUGUUGCUGAAUUCCGAACUCCUGGGAAUCCACAUGUCAAAGGACUGUCCGUUUAGUGCCUGAGCUUCCAGAAUCAGAUGUGUGACUUUAUAAUCUGAAAGACAACCUCCCCUUCUGCUUAAAACUGGGCAGGGAAUGUUAACAGUUUUAAUGAAACUGUUCCGUUUUCUAGGUGGUAUUGAUGGCUGGUGUCAUUCAGUCUCAUCUUCGCAGCACAAUGAAAGGGAAAAAAGAAAGGCAAGAGGCAACGUGGGAAGUAAGAAUGAAGCGGAAAAAACCACAGCAAAUCUUUAAUUUAACAAGGCUUUUGAGGACUUUAGGGAGCCAUGAGCAUUGUGACAUAACUGUUGUUAAAAACCCUUUUCCAGAAUCUCGUUAUUAUAUGCAUGCCAGAAGCUUACAUAUUUUCCUUCACUCAAGUUAUCCUUACAGGGCUGUGUGCCACGCGCUUGGUUUGGAACACCAGUGUGGAAGGUAGAAGGCUUUUAGGGCAGGCUGACCUAAAGGAAAAAUCGAAACCAAAAGAUGAUGGGAUUAACACUGAAAAGCUCAGUUGGGUUGAGAUGGAACCCCCUGGAAGCUCAGCUUAGAUUGACUUAAAAUCAGUUAACAAGGCCUGUGGUUUAUUUGUAACCCUGAGGACUUCUAGACCCACAUAAGUCUUUGACUUGGAAAGUGCUUCGCCUCCAUUCCCCCCUUCAGUCUUGGCUCAUUCACUUUCUGGUGGCUGCUCUUGCCUGGCAAUUUAUAGCGCUUUCUAGAGAUUGAUUCUCAGAUCAGCUUUGCUUACACGGACAUGGCCCUCCACACUGAACAAAUGAUGCCCCAUAGUUUGAAAGAGCUACUGGCUAGGAUAAAGUCCUUUGCCAGAGGGAUGGAAUAAUUAUUUUUUAAACGAAGGGACUUUAUAAUUUUCCGGUAAAUUGCUCAUAAAAACAUUUAUAAUUAUACCCUUUAUAAAAAUGUAAUAGAAUCAUUUUAGAAAAUGCAUUUGAUAAUAGUUAUGAUAACCUUUUUUGUUGCUUCCCCCUUAUUCUUAAAAAGAAUUUAAUUAUGAAUCCAGAAGUCAAAUCUUGAGUGGCUAAAAACGUUUAUAGCAGCCUCUUUUUAUGUUAGUCACCUGCUGGAAUUUUCCAAAACUUACUGGCAUUAUGAUGAGCCCUUGGCUUUAGAAAAUGUAUUUCUGAAACUGAAAUAUGGAGCCGGCGUGGAAGCCCCCUAACCAUGAGACCUUUAAGUUGUGUUUUCAAGGCAGCAGAGGUGGCGGGUACAGCACACACUGCUGGCUCCACACCAGACUCCUAAGUGGGAUGCACGGAGGUGCAAGAGUGUGCAUUGCAAUAGUUGUGCCUCUGGAUGGAAAUGUUCUGAGGAUUUUUGGUAGCAAACUGACUCCUGUCUGGAGCUGACCUUUGGAAUGCCAGGGAGACAAGCCCACCGAGUCUUCUCCUUGAGCCACCCUCUUGUCACUUGAGUUAAGAUGCAUGUUUUUCUCCAGAUUCUCCCAUUUUGCCGGUAGGACAUUGUGGUGUGAUGUUGGAAGGACAGACAGAGUUGGGUGUCCCUGGAAAUUCUGUUCGUGUGAUACGGUCUCUUACAGCAUAUGCCACUUUUUCUGAGUGUGCUCUUCCUUUCUCCCUCCAUCUUCCUAGUCUACUUGAUGAAUUGUGCUUCUUAGCUUAUAUAUGUACCUCUGUGUCUGUAGAAGCAAAAUAAAUACAUAACAACAUUUCAGGUGUCUGGAGAAAGAGUUGUAAUGUGACUGCCUCAUGUGCAAAAAAAAUAGCAUAGAAAAUGCAGCUCUCCUCAUAUGACAUAUACUGCUGCUCACCUCUUUGUCUUCCGUGAGCCAGUGUGCAGGAACUUUGAGGUAGAUGUUUGCUCCCUCAAGGAGAUUCUGACCCAGUCAUCCCAGAUGAGUGAUGGAUGCCACCGGGCAAGAAGAGUCUGCUUUGGGAGGCCUGGAGGUGCUGGGGUAAACACUAACCUAGAAUGUUGGGUACCUUUCUGAAUAUGAAGACGUCUUCCUUGCUCAGAAUUUAGGGACUGCCUCUGUCUCUCUCUGUCUCUCUCUGGUGUUCUCUCUUCUAUCAGUUUUUAAAUUGGGGUUUUUCUCCCCCCCUUUUUUUGUAUCUAAUUCAUAUUGCGAAGUGUUGGUUUGGAAAUAAGGUGUUAAAUUUUUCACCCAUCUUAUUAGGCAGUAUGUUAAGAAAAAUAAAAUUGAAUCAUUUUGCAUUAAAGCUUCAGAAAAAUCCCUCCAAAUAAUCAGUGUUUGAAUGUUGAUUAAUAUACAGUAAACCAUGAUUUUUCUAUAAGGGUACCAAGGUGUUACUGAUAAAUUGGUGUUUCUGGCUAACAGUAGAUUAGCCAGAAAUAUUUUCUGACUUUUCCUUCUUGAAUAUAUAUUUUAAAUGUGCUGGUCCCCUUUCCUACCCUAGAAAGAACAUUGAGAAUGUAAUCGAAUCUUUCUUUGCACUUUGAGGAUCUUCUGGUGCCACAGGGUCACUGUUCUGAGGAUAAAUUCUGAUUGUACGUUAUAGAGCCAUAAACGGAGACAGCAUCAGAGAUUGGGCUAAAUCUGUCCUGAUCCCAGCUUGGAAAUGGUUUUCUUCUUUUGUUAAAUCCUCCAUAUUAGUAUGUUUUGUUAUUGGCGCCCUUGUGCUGUUAAGUUGCAAGCAGCGAAAUAGAAAUUCACUUCAAUUACUUGGUUCUGGUUAAUUGAGGUUUUUACUUGAUAGGAAAAUUUCAACCAGAGUCUAGAGCCUUAAUUCUUUCUCUUGAGUUAUAGAGGAUGUAGAAUUAUUCUCAGAUAUUCAGGCUGUUGUAUUUACAAGGAAGUUAUGUACUAUAGUGCCAUCGCGUUGUGUGACUUCUCCCCUGUGUAGCAGUAGAGAGGAAUGCCAGCUGAUUUUGCCUCUUCCUUAGAUACGUUGAAGCGGUGUCUUUGGUCUAGGACUUGUAAAUUGAGAAAGUUAGGAACCUCAAGAAUUAGAAGGAAGAGUUUCAAGAAUAUCAAUAGUGAACAUCUAGAUUCCCCCAAAGGAAGCUCUCUCUCCAAGCUUAGGCCUUGUUCACCGGACCAGUAUGGAGAGCAUUCUGGAAUCACAGCAUCCGUCGGAGGCUGACUUUCUCAGGGCCGUCCUACUUGACUUAAUGAUAGUCUGCAGUUAUCUUGUGCUAUCUUUGAUGUGGUAGUGUUGGAAAUUCAGCUUGGGAGUCUUGGCAUUCUUUUGUAUCAGCCCAAUUAUUUUUUAUUUUUUUUGCUUUUGGAGUAAAGACAUCAAGGAGAUUGUCUAAAGAACUCCUUCCAUGCGGGGAAUGGGGCGUGAUGAGGAAUACAUAUACGGCAGCUCGUGGUUUAGGCAGGCUUGCUUUUUGCUGUGGCUUUUACAUGCUAAUGUUAAAAGGAAUUCCAGGUAACAAUUCCCUUGUGUUGGUGGAAGGACAGUUUUUUUCCUAACAGACAUUUAUGGCCCCAGCUGACACGUCAUUAUUACAGAUUGUCUUAUCACAUUACAUGCUGGGGCACGUUGACAGUGGCGUGGCUCUGUGGUUUCCUGGUGACUGUCUCGUCCACAGAUCUGAGGCCCUGGAGGCCGGCUGGGGAGCCCUCUGCAGUGCCCACUGCCAGCUAAGUGGACAGGUUUCCCACGCUCUUGAAGGUGCUGGAGGACUCCAGGCUGUCCCAGGUAGUUUCUCUCCCAGGGCUCUUUUCCCUGAAGCUCAGUCAGAGGCUGGAAAAGAGUAGGAACAAUUAGAGUGCAGAGGAUUUAUAAUCUCCUAGCCUCGAAUCAUCUCCAGCAAUGUUACCGAGCAUUUGAGUUUGAUUAUGAACUUUAAGAAAGUGUGUGGAAGCAAUUAGGAAGUUCCUACAUCCGUGAACCGACCAUGAUAGACAGAAACUGUUCUGGGGUACAAGGAAGGGUACCACUUAGUACAGGAUCCUCAAGCCUGUGAAAGAGGCAGCGCACUGUUAAAAAUACCUAGCUUACUUCGGGGGAGGAUUUGGCUGAAUACUGAUGAAGUUUAUGAAAUAUGAAUGUAGUGAAGUUGCUGUACGUAAGUGGUAGGCGUGUGUGAAAGAAGUAAGAAGAAAUAAAAUUGUGGAUAAAUGACAGUCUGAAACUUGAUGGAAUUGUAUACGUGACAAGAAUGGUGACGUUUGGGUCUGUGCUUAAUGGGGGAAAAUAAACUGGCUUAAAUUCUAUAUGUCAAGCUAGAUGUGGGACUAAAAAUUACAGAAUAUAAAAUCAUUUGACUUAUUUUAUAAGCAAAGAAUGCUACCGAGGAGAAGCAGGCAGGUUGCAAAGAAUCGAGGUGAAACAGAGUGGGGGAGAAAAAUGAGGGACCAACACUUGAAUGUAUGAUGAGGUAUGGUAAUCACUGUUUUAAAUAAUCCAGACUAUUAACUACUGUGCUGCUAGAUAGAGAAUUCGUUAUAGCCAAACAAAAGGCAUAAAUAUGAAUUUUAGGUUGUGUGGGAGAAAUCUUCUUGAUCCCCAAAGCAUAAAUGCAUGUACUCAGAAGCAAAGCUGCACACGAAGUAAUUUUUUCUGUCUUAUCCUGAUUAAUUGACAGCCAACUGUAUGCCUCUUUCCUGAAGGUGACUUUACAAUCUCCAGACACAGACAUUUCUCUCAGAAGUGGAGUGAAGGAAGGAGAACCACAAGCUAAAGGCAAUGAAAAGAGGAAAAGUUGACACUUUGAGAAGUUAUGAUGAACUUGUCGAGAAUGCCAAUUGACAAAGGCAGUUUUAAAGAAACCUGAAGAAAUGGACAAAGACGGAGGAAAGAAACCGGAUGUGAUUCUGCACUUCCAGAAGCAAAGAAGCUUAUAUCAUCCUGUUUGAUCGAUGCCAGUCAUGGGGAGGAGUGGCUGUAUAGAAGUUAAUGGAAUUGCAACAUACAAAUCACAGAAGAAACAAGGGUAUAUUUAGCAAGUCUGAAAACUCUUCAAUAAACUGCAUUCCUUUUCAUUUUCACUGUACAGUUAUAAAAACAGCGGAUGGUCAUAGGCCACUGUAACGAUAAAGCAUGUGCUGCCAGGAACGUGUGUGUGACGAGCAUGUUAUAUCUGAAAGGACAGGGCAGCUGGGAGGGUGAACUGCCUGUAACUCUCAAUUGUCCAGGUAAUGAAGCAUUGGGAAAGCAAAGGCAAAUGAAAUACUUUGAUAAUCAAAAACGAUUCUUCUUUUAGUGAUCAUAUUAGUCGAUUGAUGAUGAUAAAUGUGAAAUUGCCAGAGUUGUAUUUUACCAUUUCUGGCACGCAUGACCCACUUUGGAGGAGCAGUUUCUGUAGACCAGACUGUUAACCCAGAAGAUGUAGAACUUCACAGAGUGAAGGAUGACGGUUGAAGAUUAGUGAGGUUCUAGACUUUCUCAAGGCCCCACAGAGAAUCAGUAGGAGAACUGAUGCUACACAGAAAGGGUUCUAGAAAGUUCUAAAGCUCGCUUUCUAACCUUGAGCUAGUAUGUGGUGCUCGCUCAUCAUGCUGGUCAUGUUUUAUUAGACUAAAGCCUGUUAGAGCCAAAAGGGGUGUGAUAAAUCAUCUAGUCUAGCCACCCCUGUCACCCUCCAUGCGCCACCUGCCAUUUAAACUAAUGUUCAUGGACAUCUAAGAAUGUGUGUGUGGUCCCAUUCCUAAUAAGUAGCAAGGCUGUGACAAGAACACAGGUCUUCUACUUCCUUACCUAAUAUUCUUUCCACUUAUAUGCUGUGCCACGAUGUUUGGAAGUUCCAGUAAGGUACAAAGUCAAGUUCCUGUCCCCCAGGAAAACAUGAGGAUCUUACCAUGUGUACACAAGUUAAUCCAGCGUUAGGUAGUAGAUAUGUCUGAAAGUAAGCACGAGUUAUUUUGGCUCUGCGUCAAUAGUGGAACAUAUUGUAUCAGUAACUGUUACUUUUUAAAAUCCCACUGGGCUUUUUUAUUAUUAAUUAAAAGUUAGCUAGUGAGCUUGUCUGUGUCAGUAAAGCCAUCCUAAAGCAUAGUGAAAAUAGCGUCUGUGUCUCGUGCUCUGGUUUAGUAGAAAGUAAAAUACGGGAUGUGGAGUCGAACAUUUGUACUCAUGCUUUGGGGAUGCUGGGUGGAGCUGGAGCAGCCAGGGGGCGCAGUGGGGGAGGAUGUGUCUCAGCUGCAGUCUUCUUUCCUCCAGGCAGAGAUUAAGGCUGUGUGCUUUACAGAGAUGCUCAAGAGCAAGUCUGCAAAUGGAAUACAAUGUAGCCAGUAAAAAUCAUGUUGCAGUAGAAAAAUAUAUUUCUUGAUGGGGAAAAUGUUGGUGAUCUAUUGCUUAGUGAAAAGUAAUAGCUUCCACAGUAGUGAGUGCAGAGUGGCAUCAUUCUUGUAAAAACUAUUGUAUGUGUGUGUGUGUCUGUGUGUAUUAACAUCGGCCCACAUAUACCUAAAUGAUGAAAUGAUAAAGUGGUCAUCUCUGGAUAGUGAGAUUAUUUGAGUUUCUUUUUUCUUUGUGCUCUUCUGUAUUUUCCAAGUUUCCUGCAUUAUGCGUGUAUUAAUUUUGUAA
This is a long non-coding RNA of Equus quagga, 7390 nucleotides long. RefSeq lists it as uncharacterized. The record is from RefSeq and is a predicted model, not a curated record. Lineage: Eukaryota; Metazoa; Chordata; Mammalia; Perissodactyla; Equidae. The transcript has 3 exons.